Long non-coding RNA from Vigna radiata var. radiata (mung bean), 569 nucleotides. RefSeq lists it as uncharacterized. Lineage: Eukaryota; Viridiplantae; Streptophyta; Magnoliopsida; Fabales; Fabaceae. The transcript has 3 exons. The record is from RefSeq and is a predicted model, not a curated record.
CCGAAGAGGAUACUUGAAUUGAUGAAUGUCCCUGGUUUGAGUAGAGAAAAUGUUGCCAGUCAUUUGCAAGUUAGUUUUUAGUUCAAAAAUGCUAAGCUUGGGGGAGAUAUUAUUUUCUCCGUUUCUUUUUUCACACACUUAAGAUCCUCAAAGGUACUAUCAAAUUGUGAAAACUCAAUUGAUAUUUGUUGUGGCAGUUCCUCAAUGUGUGAAGAGUAGAAAUUAUCGUAAGGCACAACAAAUUCGUCUAUGUAUAAACUGGAUUNCAGGGCAGNUUGUGGAUGGCGAGUAAAUGAAGAGUACUUGGUGUUGUGGAGUACCUCUNGGCUGCAGGAGGUAACAUUGCAGGUUAGAUGGAUCGUAAAGAUGUUCCUAUACCAGAGAGGCCACAUUUGGAGGAAUUAAAACAAAUUCAGGAAUAGAAGUGGAGUGUAAAGAAGGCAGAGAAAAUUAAUCUAGAGAGACAUUCUCUAAGAUGUGACACGGAACUGAAGCUUUCUGCGCUUCCUUUUGUUGGAUUUGCAGUGGCCAUGUUUAUNUUUUACCCUAUAGUUCNUGUUCUGCUUAAG